GAAGCCGGGGGCUCGGAUCAGAGUGCCAAGUGGGCCAAUUUUGGUAAGCAGAACUGGCGCUGUGGGAUGAACCAAACGUCGAGUUAAGGCGCCUAAAUCGACGCUCAUGUGAAACCAUGAAAGGCGUUGGUUGCUUAAGACAGCAGGACGGUGGCCAUGGAAGUCGGAAUCCGCUAAGGAGUGUGUAACAACUCACCUGCCGAAGCAACUAGCCCUGAAAAUGGAUGGCGCUGUAGCGUCGUGCCUAUACUCGACCGUCAACGGCAAAUAUGACUGGCGGGCAACUGUCGGUCGUUACGCCUUGACGAGUAGGAGGGCCGCGGCGACGUGCGUAGAAGGGUCUGGGCGUGAGCCUGCCUGGAGCCGUCGUCGGUGCAGAUCUUGGUGGUAGUAGCAAAUACUCCAGCGAGGCCCUGGAGGACUGAUGUGGAGAAGGGUUUCUUGUGAACAGCUGUUGCACAAGAGUCAGUCGGUCCUAAGCCCUAGGAGAAAUCCGAAGCGAUGGGUUGCCGUGAAUAAAACCACCAUUGUGUAAAAAAGCUGGCACCCGUUUGGGCGAAAGGGAAUCCGGUUCCUAUUCCGGAACCUGGCAGUGGAACCGUUCCAAUUCGGGCCCUCUGAGGACUCGUCAGGGCAACCUGAAUAGUCCCGGAGACGCCGACAGGAGAUUGGGGGAGAGUUGUCUCUUCUCUAUAAGCGAUCGAGUUCCCUGGAAACUUCUAGCAAGGAGAUAGGGUUUGGAUCGCGAAGAGCACUGCAGUUACGGCAGUGUCCCAAUCUUCCUCUCGGACCUUGAAAAUCCGGGUGAGGGCCACGAGGAACCCCACGCCAGACCGUACCCAUAUCCGCAGCAG
This 854-nucleotide ribosomal RNA is filed under the name Phylinae aff. Stoebea sp. 726. RNAcentral's name for it is "eukaryotic LSU rRNA". It matches the Rfam family "Eukaryotic large subunit ribosomal RNA", at positions 1097 to 1862 of the family's 3401-position model. The record is from RNAcentral. Lineage: Eukaryota; Metazoa; Arthropoda; Insecta; Hemiptera; Miridae.